Molecule: RNA transcript, 3796 nt
Organism: Trichomycterus rosablanca
Lineage: Eukaryota; Metazoa; Chordata; Actinopteri; Siluriformes; Trichomycteridae
Gene name: cyclin-dependent kinase-like 5
Exons: 21
Source: RefSeq, a predicted model, not a curated record
UUCAAGUAUGCAGCAGCAGCAGCAGCAGAGAUGGAGCUCUAUUACAAGCUACAGCACCGAGUGCACAUUGACCGAUUCAUCGCAAAAUAAACAUGAAUGCAAGUGCAGAUUUAAAGAAGCUACGCAGAAUGUUCAGUGGGCCGAACUGAGUGGAGCAUCCUUUGCCAGGUUACCCCAUGCCCCCCUGUAACCAAGAAGAAAACCUUUCACCCACUCGAUCUCUGCCCGUUUCGUCUGACCACCAUUCGUCUUGAUGAGGAACCCUGUCAUCGGUGAUGUGAUGAACAAGUUUGAGGUGCUUGGGAUCGUGGGUGAAGGAGCGUACGGGGUCGUGCUCAAAUGCAGACACAAGGAGACUAAUGAAAUCGUGGCUAUUAAGAAGUUCAAGGACAGCGAAGAGAAUGAGGACGUGAAGGAAACGACAAUGCGAGAGCUGAAGAUGCUCCGUACGCUAAAGCAGGAAAAUAUCGUGGAGCUGAAGGAGGCGUUCAGACGCCGGGGGAAACUCUACCUGGUGUUUGAGUAUGUGGAGAAGAACAUGCUGGAGUUGCUGGAAGAGCUGCCUAAUGGCGUGCCUCCUGACAAAGUGAGGAUCUACAUCUACCAGCUAAUCAAAGCAAUCCACUGGUGCCAUAAGAACGACAUAGUGCACAGAGACAUAAAGCCCGAGAACCUUCUCAUUAGCUCUGAAGACGUUCUCAAGCUGUGUGAUUUUGGUUUUGCACGAGAUCUCUCAGAAGGAACAGAUGCUAAUUACAGCGAGUACGUGGCCACACGGUGGUACCGCUCACCUGAACUGCUACUGGGAGCUCCAUAUGGGAAGGCGGUGGAUAUGUGGUCGGUCGGGUGCAUCCUGGGCGAGCUGAGCGACGGGCAGCCGUUGUUUCCGGGAGAGAGUGAGAUCGAUCAGCUCUUUACCAUACAGAAGGUUCUGGGACCCCUGCCUCCUGAACAGAUGAAGCUUUUCUACAACAACCCCCGCUUCCACGGCCUACGGUUCCCUACAGUAAGCCAUCCACAGACUCUAGAAAGGCGAUACCUCGGCAUCAUCAACGGCCCCCUGUUGGACCUAAUGAAGAAUCUGCUGCUUUUGAACCCAAAUGAGCGAUUUCUGACAGAACAGAGUCUGAACCACCACGUAUUUCAGAGUCAGCGGCAAACAGAGCGGCCCGGCCCUCCGACCCCUACACCGGUCAGAUCGUCCAAAAGGAAACCCCACCAUGACAACAGCGCCCUCAACAGGAGUCACGGGAGUAAGACCUCAGGACACCAUCGUUCUAACAGCCGGGACUGUUCGAGCCUGCCACGUCACAGUCAGGCUGAGCUGCAUCCACCCAGUGCUGAGGCGUUUCUAAAUGGUGCCGUUCCAGCAUCAAGCAGCUUGAGCCCCACACUGCACCCCAAAACCUUUCAUUCUCCUCAACCCCUCAACCGCUCUGCAUCCUGCGGCAAAGACCUUGCCUCACUCAGCCCCAAGAAGUCCAGAGCCAAAGUAUCCGAUCUCGACUUUGACCUGGCCAAGCCAUCUGAUGGCCCCGGGGCCAAAUACCUCAAGUCCAACGCCUUGCGCUCUUACAAUCGCCACUCAUUUGUUGAGGGCAAGACCAGCACCCUUGGUGAGCGAGAGAAGCACGGUCGUCAUGGCGAACCAGUGCCAUUAAAUUCUGGUACCAAGGGCUCCUCGUCCUUCAUGAGCCUGUCCAAGAGCCAUGGUGCACUGACUGACGCCAAAUCCGUCAGCAACUUGACUGAUCCACGCCUCCUUCAGGACGAAACUCCUAUCUCCUCACGUUACUAUCCUACCAGUUGCCUGGACCUGAAUGCCAACCUGAACCUGCCGUCGCCAGGCAGCCCUGCCCUGCCUCGUCACAGCCCCUCGGCUGGAGGUCGCGCCAAGUCUGAGCGCCAAGGGACCAUGGUGGACUCGUCACUUCGGCAUUCGACACGCCGUCAGCAGCAGGACGAUGCCAAGACCAAUGAGAACCUGGAUCCAGGGGGAGGAAUAGGAGGAGCUCAUGACUUUCCCUAUGGGCUGGGCUACACCAGCCCCUUUUCCUCUCAACAGCGCCCCCACAGACACUCCAUGUAUGUGCGCCGGGAACGAAGCCGGCCUCAUGGAAUGGAUGCUGCAGGACUGGGGCAGGGUGCGCCCGCUCGUACCAGCAGCCUCCAGAUGCUCUCGCCACAACUUCAGCAUCGCACGCUACCCAGGCAUGUGGGUAGCACCUCCAAUCGGGAUGAUGCCACCGAUGACCUCAGGACGGCCAUGUAUCAUGAGCAACAUCCAGAGGACCUUGGAUCAUCUAAGGAGAACCGCAUGGUCUACACCGAGUCUGUGCCACGCAGAGUUGGCAGCUUUUACAGAGUACCAUCCCCUAGACCAGACAACAGCUUUCAUGAGGGCAGUGGUCAGAACAUGAGCUCAGCGGUGAACAUGGACAGCAGCAGCCACACCAAACGUCAGCCAUCUUAUGACCCCUGGACGGGGCCCGAUUCGCUGGAUAUGUGUGCACCAGAGCCAGCCAAAGAAAAGGAGAAGCAAGGCUUCUUCAGAGCAAUAAAGAAGAAAAAGAAGAAAUCACAAACGGUGGAAGCUGGAGAAUGCAGAGGUCCUGUGAUCAAGAAAUCUCUUUUCCCUCUGUUUAACUCAAAGAGUAGCUUUAAACAUAACUCCUCUGAGAGAGUACUUCCUCUAGUGACCUCAACCAUGAUCCUGAAUGACGAGACCGAUCAGGUGGUGGUUCCAAAAUCAUCACUGGGGUUUGGACAGCAGAGCAGCAGCAGACGUCGAACCCGCAGCAGAGACCGGGAGAGAAGCCGAGAUCGGGAUCAGGAGCGGGACAGAGACGAGUGGCCGCCCGAGAGGCUCGCCGAAACCCACUCCCAGAACCAGCCACUCAGGUCUCUUCGCAAGCUCCUUCAUCUCCCAGCCUCCUCCUCCAACAAACCCACUACACCAGACCUGCGAUUCCCCUCCUCAUCUAAAGGAGGAAGCUUCGUGGAAUCACGGGGUCACGUCGGAGGGGGCGGCGCUGGUCCAGCUCCACCAUUGUCCCGGCAGGCCCAGUACUCUCUAGCCGGUCAGCUGGAGUCCACAUGGCACUCGGCGGCUCUGGGCCGGUCUGAAGGAAACCCGUACCCGGAGCAGCUGGCAUCCAAAGCAGGCCAAAACGGGCACGGGUUUGUUCGUUCAUCGCGCUCACGCAUGCCAAACCUCAACGACCUGAAAGAGACUGCACUUUAAACUGAGCCACAGCUGCACCUGCAGGAGUGAGGGAUUAGAAAGGGCGCACACUGAGACACUGAAUAAUAAGGAAUUUGGUGGAUCACGUGUUCAGCCUGUACACCUGACCGGUGGAAUUACGCUUGAUUUGCAGCACCUGUGCAGAACCCCUGCAGAGCUUUAAAAGCCGAGCUGCUAUUUGAUGAUGAAGACUUCUGGUGUUGGAGCUGAGAGGAAGAUGAAGAGGACGUGCCGAAGAAACAGGAGACCUGUUAAAGCUUAUUCUAACUAUAUUUACAGGAUUAUGAAGGAGAGUCUGGCUAUAAAGGACAGUGUGGCAUUACCUGGACGUUUGUGGGCAGAACUGUCCUCCCAGGUUGGUGACGAAGCUGCACGCCUUGCUAAGCUGAAUCAGCGUGGCACCAUCACCCAGCGUGAGGUCUGUUCUGCUGUACGAGCUGUGAGAAAGAACAUGAAGAGAAACGAGGAACCUGGAGCAUGAAGGCUGGAUUUCAGAACUGUUUUUCUUUCUUUUGUAGAUAUUUAUGCUUUGAAUAAAGAUUUUUACAUUAA